Molecule: ribosomal RNA, 1256 nt
Filed under: uncultured Campylobacterota bacterium
Lineage: Bacteria; Pseudomonadati; Campylobacterota
Description: bacterial SSU rRNA
Rfam family: Bacterial small subunit ribosomal RNA
Source: RNAcentral
CAUGCAAGUCGAACGAGAACGGCUCUAGCUUGCUAGAGUGUCAGCUAAGUGGCGGACGGGUGAGUAAUGUAUAGCUAACGUGCCCCUUGGAGAGGGAUAACAGUUGGAAACGACUGCUAAUACCUCAUACUCCUUCUAUGUUAAUCAUAGUUGGGAAAUGUUUUUUCGCCAAGGGAUCGGGCUAUAUGGUAUCAGGUAGUUGGUGGGGUAAGAGCCUACCAAGCCAAUGACGCCUAGCUGGUCUGAGAGGAUGAUCAGCCACACUGGAACUGAGACACGGUCCAGACUCCUACGGGAGGCAGCAGUGGGGAAUAUUGCACAAUGGGGGAAACCCUGAUGCAGCAACGCCGCGUGGAGGAUGACGCAUUUCGGUGUGUAAACUCCUUUUAUAUGGGAAGAUAAUGACGGUACCAUAUGAAUAAGCACCGGCUAACUCCGUGCCAGCAGCCGCGGUAAUACGGAGGGUGCAAGCGUUACUCGGAAUCACUGGGCGUAAAGCGCGCGCAGGCGGCUUUGUAAGUUGGAUGUGAAAGCCUACGGCUCAACCGUAGAACUGCAUCCAAAACUACUUAGCUAGAGUCUGGGAGGGGAAGAUGGAAUUAGUUGUGUAGGGGUAAAAUCCGUAGAGAUAACUAGGAAUACCAAAAGCGAAGGCGAUCUUCUGGAACAGUACUGACGCUGAGGCGCGAAAGCGUGGGGAGCAAACAGGAUUAGAUACCCUGGUAGUCCACGCCCUAAACGAUGAAUGUUAGUCGUCGGAGGCCUAGUGUCUUCGGUGAUGCAGCUAACGCAUUAAACAUUCCGCCUGGGGAGUACGGUCGCAAGAUUAAAACUCAAAGGAAUAGACGGGGACCCGCACAAGUGGUGGAGCAUGUGGUUUAAUUCGAAGAUACGCGAAGAACCUUACCUGGCCUUGACAUUGAGAGAAUCCGGUAGAGAUACUGGAGUGCCUUCGGGAGCUCGAAAACAGGUGCUGCACGGCUGUCGUCAGCUCGUGUCGUGAGAUGUUGGGUUAAGUCCCGCAACGAGCGCAACCCUCGUCACUAGUUACUAACGGUUCGGCCGAGGACUCUAGUGAGACUGCCUUCGCAAGGAGGAGGAAGGUGAGGACGACGUCAAGUCAUCAUGGCCCUUACGGCCAGGGCAACACACGUGCUACAAUGGGCAGGACAAUGAGACGCGAUACCGCGAGGUGGAGCAAAUCUAUAAACCUGUUCUCAGUUCGGAUUGUAGUCUGCAACUCGACUACAUGAAGU